GGAAUCUUCCCAUUCAGCAUGGCCAAGUCGAGCUCCCUGCCCUGUUUCCUGACCAGCCUUUGUGGGCAGCGUGGAAGGUGUGGCCUUCCAUGGCAGCAUCCACUUUCUUAGAGGUCCUCCACGUCGGUGGCACCUCCCUCCCUCUCAACCACGUGAGCAGACUCCAAGACACCUCCUCCCUUGACAUCCGCAGUUGUGCCAAGGGCCAUUAGGCUCUCAGCAUGACUAUUUUUAGAGACUUCGUGUCUGUCAGUGAGACAUUUCUCCUCUGUGAAAGUAUCCCUCCCUCCAUCUGCAAUAGCUGCCCCUGCUGACUGCACCUCUCUGCUCGCCCUGACCCCAGAGAAAGGGGCCUUGGUCCACUGGUCCUCUGCCCCCACUGCCUGCAGCCAGCAGGAAUGGGAGAACAGGCUGGCUCGGAGGCAGUGUCUGCGUUCUGCACAGCUGCCGUUCUGUAAUGACAAGUGCACUGUUGGUUCACCCUCA
This is a long non-coding RNA of Equus quagga, 486 nucleotides long. RefSeq lists it as uncharacterized. The record is from RefSeq and is a predicted model, not a curated record. Lineage: Eukaryota; Metazoa; Chordata; Mammalia; Perissodactyla; Equidae. The transcript has 2 exons.